RNAcentral lists this long non-coding RNA (1206 nucleotides) under Citrus maxima (pomelo). RNAcentral describes it as "long non-coding RNA (CMAX_LNC002795)". Lineage: Eukaryota; Viridiplantae; Streptophyta; Magnoliopsida; Sapindales; Rutaceae. The record is from RNAcentral.
AAGAACCCAUUGCCUCUAUGAUGAUCCCUGCGACAUACUCGACGCAGGCUCUCAUGGCUUCUGCUAAUUGUUCUAACGCACCCUGCAUUGCCUCUCCCGGAACUUUGAAUGCAUGGAUGAGCAGCACAAUAAGGUGAGCCACCGAGCUGAAGAUUAAACGGGUUACUAAGUUUGAUACUGCGGUGAUGACAAAGAAAAUUAAUUUCAGGAGCAGAACAACCAUUUUCGGUAUAUUGGUUUGAAGGAAUCAGGAGACAAGAAAAGGGCAGGUAUAGAGCUGAUAAAUUGUUUAUUGAUUUGUUUUCAAUUUAUUGUUUUGUUUGUAUAGUUUAAGCGUUGAAUUUGAUUAUUAAUAUUGUGUGUUUGUGACUUUGUGUUGCAUGUUGACGCAUCAUAUGGGGUAGUUGAUGUCCUCACUCUUUCCGGGAAAUUUAACGUUACACUUUUUAAAAAAAUGGUUGAUUCUAACUAAUCAUUUAUAAAAUAUAUGUUAUUGUACCUGUAAACGAUGAUUAAAAGAAUUUUAUACAAUGAUAAUUACCUAGACCAAGACUUUUUAAACGUUUUCUAGAAGUUGCUUCAGGAAGAAGCAAGAACAAGAUUAAGCUGUUGCUUGCAAGGACUGGAUAUUAACACUAACUAGGUCCGUACUGCAAUUAAUUUAAAUUAUAAAUUUGUUGAUUUUACAAUUGGGUUGCCAGCAUUAAUUUAUUCACAGAAGCUCCGGAACAAGUAUUUUUGUUCCCAGAGAGAGCAUCGACCAAAAGCCAAAAAUGCCAAACUGAAAAACUCUCAAGACUCAGAAUUCUUAAAAGAGAUUUUUAUAUGAAUUGCUCUAAUAUACAAGAGAUAUGACAGCAGAACAGUUUUGAAACUGUAUAUUAUUUAUAAAACUGCAUACACUAUACAACUCAAAAUCAUCCCUGAGUGGUUGCACACCAAAAUCUGAAAGCAGAGAGACCAAAUGCAUAUAUACAAAAUUAAGUUGAACAAAACCACCGCACCUUAUUUACAUAUACUUCCCGUUCUCUUUCUCUCUGAUUAAUUUUCUUUCAGCUUAUAUACAGCAUCGGCAUACUCUUCUGCAUCCCAAAGAAAAGAACCAAAAGCAAUUGCCUCCAAAACCAACCGCUUCAGACUUGAAAAUGAUGUCAAAAUAACCUCAUCAGUAUCCAGCAAACCCGUCUGUCCAUCACCAAAGAGUGC